AUGUGCUUUUGUAAAACUAAUAACGAAAAUACAAUGAAAGUUCAAGAGGACAAGAAGCCGGGAGAAGUAGACGUGCGCUUUCCAAGUACUCCAGCUUUAGGACAUCGUCGUGUCCGGCGGCGGCGGCCACAUGGAGCGCGUCGGGCGUGUGUGGCGCUGUUGCCGAGGAGGAGUUCGGCGAUGAGGAACCCGCCGGAUGCCGGUACUUCUGGCCGGCGGCCUCACGCGCCCCUCCUGCUGGCCGCUGGCCCCGCACCGCUCCUUCUGGCCGCUCGUGGCUCCUCGGGUUCGUGUAUGGAGCAACGAAGGAACUCGUGCCUGCGUGAGUCACGAUCGACUGUGUCGUGGACUGGAGCGAAGACCAGACCAGGCUGGUGCGUUGCAUACAGCCCCAACAAGGCCAAUAGCACGGGACAGGCGAUUUUCUUAGCCGGUUUUUCUUUCACACAAUGUUUUUUAGCGAAUCAAUUUUGUUAG
RNAcentral lists this ribosomal RNA (477 nucleotides) under Triticum aestivum (bread wheat). Its description in RNAcentral is "partial small subunit ribosomal RNA". The record is from RNAcentral. Lineage: Eukaryota; Viridiplantae; Streptophyta; Magnoliopsida; Poales; Poaceae.